GACGUAGGGGGCAAGCGUUGUUCGGAAUUACUGGGCGUAAAGGGCGCGUAGGCGGCACAGCAAGUCGGGAGUGAAAGCCCGGGGCUCAACCCCGGAACGGCUUUCGAAACUGCUGAGCUAGAGUACAGAAGGGGCAACCGGAAUUCCCAGUGUAGCGGUGAAAUGCGUAGAUAUUGGGAAGAACACCUGAGGCGAAGGCGGGUUGCUGGGCUGAUACUGACGCUGAGGCGCGAAAGCCAGGGGAGCAAACGGG
This 253-nucleotide ribosomal RNA is filed under the name uncultured bacterium. RNAcentral's name for it is "partial 16S ribosomal RNA". It matches the Rfam family "Bacterial small subunit ribosomal RNA", at positions 524 to 776 of the family's 1533-position model. The record is from RNAcentral.